This 497-nucleotide ribosomal RNA is filed under the name uncultured bacterium. RNAcentral's name for it is "partial 16S ribosomal RNA". It matches the Rfam family "Bacterial small subunit ribosomal RNA", at positions 28 to 507 of the family's 1533-position model. The record is from RNAcentral.
GAUGAACGCUGGCGGCGUGCCUAAUACAUGCAAGUCGAGCGAACAGAUGAGGAGCUUGCUCCUCUGACGUUAGCGGCGGACGGGUGAGUAACACGUGGAUAACCUACCUAUAAGACUGGGAUAACUUCGGGAAACCGGAGCUAAUACCGGAUAAUAUAUUGAACCGCAUGGUUCAAUAGUGAAAGACGGUCUUGCUGUCACUUAUAGAUGGAUCCGCGCUGCAUUAGCUAGUUGGUAAGGUAACGGCUUACCAAGGCAACGAUGCGUAGCCGACCUGAGAGGGUGAUCGGCCACACUGGAACUGAGACACGGUCCAGACUCCUACGGGAGGCAGCAGUAGGGAAUCUUCCGCAAUGGGCGAAAGCCUGACGGAGCAACGCCGCGUGAGUGAUGAAGGUCUUCGGAUCGUAAAACUCUGUUAUUAGGGAAGAACAAAUGUGUAAGUAACUAUGCACGUCUUGACGGUACCUAAUCAGAAAGCCACGGCUAACUACGUG